Small nuclear RNA from Oryctolagus cuniculus (rabbit), 99 nucleotides. The record is from Ensembl. NCBI's taxonomy places the organism in Eukaryota, Metazoa, Chordata, Mammalia, Lagomorpha, Leporidae.
UUCUAUUUGUGGAAUUAUACUAAAAUCGGAAUGAUACAGAGAAGAUUAGCAUGGACCCUGAGCAAGUGUGAAUAAGCUUUUGGAAGUCUGCAGGUGUGG